UACGUAGGGGGCAAGCGUUGUCCGGAAUCAUUGGGCGUAAAGCGCGUGUAGGCGGCCCGGUAAGUCCGCUGUGGAAGUCGGGGGCUCAACCCUCGAAUGCCGGUGGAUACUGUCGGGCUAGAGUGCGGAAGAGGCGAGUGGAAUUCCUGGUGUAGCGGUGAAAUGCGCAGAUAUCAGGAGGAACACCAAUGGCGAAGGCAGCACUCUGGGACGUGACUGACGCUGAGACGCGAAAGCGUGGGGAGCAAACAGG
RNAcentral lists this ribosomal RNA (253 nucleotides) under uncultured bacterium. RNAcentral describes it as "partial 16S ribosomal RNA". It matches the Rfam family "Bacterial small subunit ribosomal RNA", at positions 524 to 776 of the family's 1533-position model. The record is from RNAcentral.